RNAcentral lists this ribosomal RNA (389 nucleotides) under Escherichia coli. RNAcentral's name for it is "bacterial SSU rRNA". It matches the Rfam family "Bacterial small subunit ribosomal RNA", at positions 234 to 614 of the family's 1533-position model. The record is from RNAcentral. Lineage: Bacteria; Pseudomonadati; Pseudomonadota; Gammaproteobacteria; Enterobacterales; Enterobacteriaceae.
GAUGGGAUUAGCUAGUAGGUGGGGUAACGGCUCACCUAGGCGACGAUCCCUAGCUGGUCUGAGAGGAUGACCAGCCACACUGGAACUGAGACACGGUCCAGACUCCUACGGGAGGCAGCAGUGGGGAAUAUUGCACAAUGGGCGCAAGCCUGAUGCAUCCAUGCCGCGUGUAUGAAGAAGGCCUUCGGGUUGUAAAGUACUUUCAGCGGGGAGGAAGGGAGUAAAGUUAAUACCUUUGCUCAUUGACGUUACCCGCAAAAGAAGCACCGGCUAACUCCGUGCCAGCAGCCGCGGUAAUACGGAGGGUGCAAGCGUUAAUCGGAAUUACUGGGCGUAAAGCGCACCCAGGCGGUUUGUUAAGUCAAAUGUGAAAUCCCCCCGGCUAAAAA